Long non-coding RNA from Lutra lutra (Eurasian river otter), 2009 nucleotides. RefSeq lists it as uncharacterized. The record is from RefSeq and is a predicted model, not a curated record. The transcript is spliced from 5 exons. Lineage: Eukaryota; Metazoa; Chordata; Mammalia; Carnivora; Mustelidae.
CCUCCCCUCCACGGCGGGUGACGUCAUCGCGCAUCCCUGCGACGUCGCCGCGUCCCAAGUAGGAAGGCAGUCUUAGGAGAGUGGACCUUAGGAGAAAAGCGGCUCGGUAUUCUCCAGAGGAAACGCGGGGAGAGAAACCAGUGGAGGGAGGGGAGAGAAGAAGGACCUAGCUGAAUGGGAAGCUGGCGGGAGAAAGGCCAGCUAUGGUUACCUGGGGAGUCUGAGCAGCUUCGGGUCCUUUAUGAAGUGCCCGGAUGCAGCUCCAGCAGCCACGCGCCUUCCACAUUGAGCGCAUCGCCAUCUUGAGAGGGGAGGAGCCGUAGUGACUUGAGUGACGUCUGCCCAGAGAGCCAGUCCCAGAGUUGCAGCUGUUUGGCUUGCUGCGUAAGCGCCCCUGUCUUCCGGGCGUACCUCUGUGCAGCGGUGUACUAGAGUCCGGUCUUUGCCCAGCAGUCCCUGCAAAUCUCGUCUUGCUUGAAACAAUAGAUUAAAACCAGACUGGCAGUUGGGGAACGCUUUCUAUUGCAACCAUGUGUGUCAGAAGAAAGGAUUAGGUUUCCUUGUCCAAGAACAUCAAGGGGAACCUCCACCUCUGCAGACACACCUUUAUUCCUCGAAAAUCCCUUCUUGAAGCACAAUGAUCCACCUAGAGCACUAUGAUACCUGGAGCUAGUAGAGAAAAACAAUUUUAUUUGAGAUGGUGAUGAACCAUGCUAAAAGGAUGUCAUUCCCAGUCGUUCUUGCAGCUAGGUCUGUCUGUAUAAUUUUUUUGCUGUAUAAUACUCCAUUCUAUGAAGGUAACACAAUUUGUUCACCCAUUCUACUGUUGAUGGACAGAUGUUAUUUUAACCAUGGGGCAAAUAUGAAUCAUGUUGCUAUGAGCAUUCUUGUACAUGUAUUGUAGUUGACAAGUACAGGAGUUGCUUGAGCUUAGGUACCCAGAAGUAGAAUUCUGGCCAUAGGGUAUGUAUAACUUCAAAUUUAACAACAGUUUUCAAAACAGGUUGCACUAAUCUGUACUCUCACUAACUGAGAAUUCCAAGAGCUCUACAUUCUCAUCACACCUGACAUUACUAGACUUAAUCAAUUCUAUGAACCUGAUGAGCCUGGGGUAAAAUUUCAUUGUAGUUUUUUAAUUUACAUUUCCUUAAGGUUGAGAGCCUGAGGAAAUGCUAAUUGGCCAAUUAAAAAUGUCCUCUUUUGUGAAUUGUGUCUUUAAGUCUUUUGGCUCUAUCCCUGAUGGACUGAUUUUGUUUUUUACUUAUCUAUUUGUAUGAAUUCCUUUUAUAUUCUGGAUGCUCUUCAUUUGUCAGUUAGAUAUGUUGCAAAUACAUCCUCAAAUUCUGUGAUUUGUUCUUUCCCUUUUUUGUGUGUUUUUAUGGAUAACAUAGUGCAUAAGUUAAAUAUAGUCUAUUAAUCUUUUCCUCUUACGAUUAGUGUUUUUAUGUCAUGUUUAAUAAAUAAUUCUCAUUAUGAAGAUCAGGAAGAUAUACUAUUUUCUAAAGGCUUAAAUAAUUUGCCUUUUAUAUUCAAGUUUAUGAAUUGACAUUUGGUAUUGUUUGAGAGAGUGAUCCAGUUUCAUUUUCCUCUCUCUUCCCCACCAUAUGCAUAUUGAAUUGCCCCAGCACCAUUUAUGAAAAGACUAUAAUUUCCCCACUGACCUGCAGUUCCAUUUCUGUCACAUGUCAAAUUCCUACAUAUAUAUGAUAUUUUGGGGGCUCUCUAAAAGAAUUUUUGUAUAUUGAUUUUGUAUCCAGCAGCUUUUAAAAAUUCUUAUUAAAUAUCGUUAGCUACAGAUAAUAUUGGUUUUUCUACAUAUAUAAUCAUGUCAUCUUCCAAUUAUGAAUUUUGGCUUCUUUUUUUUUUUUUUUUACCAAGUAUCCUUUUACUUAUUAUUUCUGUUUCCUGCCUUAUUGUACUGGUUAAGACCUCUGUUGUAAUGUUAAAAGAAAGUAGAAGAUAGAAAUUGUUGGACAUCUUUCUUGUUACUUACCUCAAAGGAGAUUUUA